CAGUAGCCACGGUAAUACAGAGGGUGCAAGCGUUAAUCGGAUUUACUGGGCGUAAAGCGUGCGUAGGCGGCUUCUUAAGUCGGAUGUGAAAUCCCUGAGCUUAACUUAGGAAUUGCAUUCGAUACUGGGAAGCUAGAGUAUGGGAGAGGAUGGUAGAAUUCCAGGUGUAGCGGUGAAAUGCGUAGAGAUCUGGAGGAAUACCGAUGGCGAAGGCAGCCAUCUGGCCUAAUACUGACGCUGAGGUACGAAAGCAUGGGGAGCAAACAGGAUUAGAUACCCCGGUAGUCCCUGUCUCUUAUAC
This 301-nucleotide ribosomal RNA is filed under the name uncultured bacterium. Its description in RNAcentral is "partial 16S ribosomal RNA". It matches the Rfam family "Bacterial small subunit ribosomal RNA", at positions 509 to 807 of the family's 1533-position model. The record is from RNAcentral.